CUAACAAGGAUUCCCCUAGUAACGGCGAGUGAAGAGGGAAGAGCUCAAAUUUUAAAUCUGCCUUGUUUCAAGGUCGAGUUGUAAUUUGAAGAAGCGUUUUCUUGGGCUCGCGGCCGGUAGAAGUUCUUUGGAACAGGACAUCAUAGAGGGUGACAAUCCCGUCUGCGACCGGUCGUGCGUUCAUCUUACGAUACGCUUUCAAAGAGUCGAGUUGUUUGGGAUUGCAGCUCCAAAUGGGUGGUAAACAUCACCUAAGGCUAAAUAUUGGCGAGAGACCGAUAGCGAACAAGUACCGUGAGGGAAAGAUGAAAAGAACUUUGAAAAGAGAGUUAAACAGUACGUGAAAUUGUUGAAAGGGAAACGAUUGAAGUCAGUCGUGCUGGCGCGAAAUCAACCCUCUCGUCGAGAGGUCACAUGGCGUGGCGAGCCUCAAAACCGUCACGAAGCGUGAACUCUUGGCGAAAAGGAGCACUUUCGUGUCCGCUGGUUAACAUCAAUUUCGAACGUCAUAAAAAGGCUGGAGGGAUGUGGCUCCUUCGGGAGUGUUAUAACCUUUAGCGGAAUGUGGUGGUCGGGAUUGAGGAUUGCAACGAAUACCUUUAGGGCUGUUCCACCUGGCUUCUCUUUGGUAUCCUGGCGAAGACAGCUUGCUGACUUUGUUAGGAUUCGCCUUUGAACAGGCUAGAGUGUGAGCAAAUUCGUUAAGGAUGU
Molecule: ribosomal RNA, 711 nt
Filed under: Glomus sp. BRRA-2009a
Lineage: Eukaryota; Fungi; Glomeromycota; Glomeromycetes; Glomerales; Glomeraceae
Description: eukaryotic LSU rRNA
Rfam family: Eukaryotic large subunit ribosomal RNA
Source: RNAcentral